RNAcentral lists this ribosomal RNA (1496 nucleotides) under Salmonella enterica subsp. enterica serovar Kentucky. RNAcentral describes it as "bacterial SSU rRNA". It matches the Rfam family "Bacterial small subunit ribosomal RNA". The record is from RNAcentral. Lineage: Bacteria; Pseudomonadati; Pseudomonadota; Gammaproteobacteria; Enterobacterales; Enterobacteriaceae.
AAGUCGAACGGUAACAGGAAGCAGCUUGCUGCUUUGCUGACGAGUGGCGGACGGGUGAGUAAUGUCUGGGAAACUGCCUGAUGGAGGGGGAUAACUACUGGAAACGGUGGCUAAUACCGCAUAACGUCGCAAGACCAAAGAGGGGGACCUUCGGGCCUCUUGCCAUCAGAUGUGCCCAGAUGGGAUUAGCUUGUUGGUGAGGUAACGGCUCACCAAGGCGACGAUCCCUAGCUGGUCUGAGAGGAUGACCAGCCACACUGGAACUGAGACACGGUCCAGACUCCUACGGGAGGCAGCAGUGGGGAAUAUUGCACAAUGGGCGCAAGCCUGAUGCAGCCAUGCCGCGUGUAUGAAGAAGGCCUUCGGGUUGUAAAGUACUUUCAGCGGGGAGGAAGGUGUUGUGGUUAAUAACCGCAGCAAUUGACGUUACCCGCAGAAGAAGCACCGGCUAACUCCGUGCCAGCAGCCGCGGUAAUACGGAGGGUGCAAGCGUUAAUCGGAAUUACUGGGCGUAAAGCGCACGCAGGCGGUCUGUCAAGUCGGAUGUGAAAUCCCCGGGCUCAACCUGGGAACUGCAUUCGAAACUGGCAGGCUUGAGUCUUGUAGAGGGGGGUAGAAUUCCAGGUGUAGCGGUGAAAUGCGUAGAGAUCUGGAGGAAUACCGGUGGCGAAGGCGGCCCCCUGGACAAAGACUGACGCUCAGGUGCGAAAGCGUGGGGAGCAAACAGGAUUAGAUACCCUGGUAGUCCACGCCGUAAACGAUGUCUACUUGGAGGUUGUGCCCUUGAGGCGUGGCUUCCGGAGCUAACGCGUUAAGUAGACCGCCUGGGGAGUACGGCCGCAAGGUUAAAACUCAAAUGAAUUGACGGGGGCCCGCACAAGCGGUGGAGCAUGUGGUUUAAUUCGAUGCAACGCGAAGAACCUUACCUGGUCUUGACAUCCACAGAACUUUCCAGAGAUGGACUGGUGCCUUCGGGAACUGUGAGACAGGUGCUGCAUGGCUGUCGUCAGCUCGUGUUGUGAAAUGUUGGGUUAAGUCCCGCAACGAGCGCAACCCUUAUCCUUUGUUGCCAGCGGUUAGGCCGGGAACUCAAAGGAGACUGCCAGUGAUAAACUGGAGGAAGGUGGGGAUGACGUCAAGUCAUCAUGGCCCUUACGACCAGGGCUACACACGUGCUACAAUGGCGCAUACAAAGAGAAGCGACCUCGCGAGAGCAAGCGGACCUCAUAAAGUGCGUCGUAGUCCGGAUUGGAGUCUGCAACUCGACUCCAUGAAGUCGGAAUCGCUAGUAAUCGUGGAUCAGAAUGCCACGGUGAAUACGUUCCCGGGCCUUGUACACACCGCCCGUCACACCAUGGGAGUGGGUUGCAAAAGAAGUAGGUAGCUUAACCUUCGGGAGGGCGCUUACCACUUUGUGAUUCAUGACUGGGGUGAAGUCGUAACAAGGUAACCGUAGGGGAACCUGCGGUUGGAUCACCUCCUUACCUUAAAGAAGC